UACGUAGGGGGCAAGCGUUGUCCGGAAUCAUUGGGCGUAAAGAGCGUGUAGGCGGCCAGAUAAGUCCGCUGUGAAAUCUCGAGGCUCAACUUCGAGCUGUCGGUGGAAACUGUCUGGCUAGAGUCCGGAAGAGGAGAGUGGAAUUCCUGGUGUAGCGGUGAAAUGCGCAGAUAUCAGGAAGAACACCCGUGGCUAAGGCGGCUCUCUAGUACGGUACUGACGCUGAGACGCGAAAGCGUGGGGAGCGAACAGG
RNAcentral lists this ribosomal RNA (253 nucleotides) under uncultured bacterium. RNAcentral's name for it is "partial 16S ribosomal RNA". It matches the Rfam family "Bacterial small subunit ribosomal RNA", at positions 524 to 776 of the family's 1533-position model. The record is from RNAcentral.